GGACUACUGGGGUUUCUAAUCCUGUUUGCUCCCCACGCUUUCGUGCCUCAACGUCAGGAAUGGACCAAGAAGCUGCCUUCGCCAUCGGUGUUCCUCUCGAGAUCUACGCAUUUUACCGCUACUCCGAGAAUUCCACUUCUCUCUUCCAUCCUCAAGCUCACCAGUAUCUACUGCUUGCCCCUAGUUAGGCCAGGGAAUUUAACAGUUGACUUAGCGUGCCGUCUACGCACCCUUUACGCCCAAUAACUCCGAAUAACGCUUGCACCCCUCGUAUUACCGCGGCUGCUGGCAC
Molecule: ribosomal RNA, 292 nt
Filed under: uncultured bacterium
Lineage: Bacteria
Description: partial 16S ribosomal RNA
Source: RNAcentral